GGACUACUAGGGUAUCUAAUCCUGUUUGCUCCCCACGCUUUCGUGCACUCAGCGUCAAUCUCAGCCCAGGGGGCUGCCUUCGCCAUCGGUGUUCCUCCACAUCUCUACGCAUUUCACUGCUACACGUGGAAUUCCACCCCCCUCUGCCAGAUUCAAGUCCCCUAGUUUCCACUGCCAUUCCCAGGUUAAGCCCGGGGAUUUCACAACGGACUUGGAGAACCGCCUACGCACGCUUUACGCCCAGUAAUUCCGAUUAACGCUCGCACCCUACGUAUUACCGCGGCUGCUGGCAC
Molecule: ribosomal RNA, 293 nt
Filed under: uncultured bacterium
Lineage: Bacteria
Also listed under: 1 other name
Description: partial 16S ribosomal RNA
Source: RNAcentral